This 253-nucleotide ribosomal RNA is filed under the name uncultured bacterium. RNAcentral describes it as "partial 16S ribosomal RNA". It matches the Rfam family "Bacterial small subunit ribosomal RNA", at positions 524 to 776 of the family's 1533-position model. The record is from RNAcentral.
UACGUAGGAGACGAGCGUUGUCCGGAAUUACUGGGCGUAAAGCGCGUGUAGGCGGAUGAGCAAGUCUGCUGUGAAAGCUCCUGGCUUAACCGGGAGUGGUCGGUGGAAACUGCUCGUCUGGAGGACGGUAGAGGUAGGUAGAAUUCCCGGUGUAGUGGUGAAAUGCGUAGAGAUCGGGAGGAAUACCUGUGGCGAAGGCGGCCUACUGGGCCGGACCUGACGCUGAGACGCGACAGCGUGGGGAGCAAACAGG